AAUAACAAAAAAAAAAAAAAGAAAAAAAUACAAAUUGAGAAUUGUUUUGGUAUGCAUAGUAGUUUUAAAGAGUUUUCUUAUCGGUUUUAAAUUGUGAAAUGGAUGAACAUUUGGUUCGUACUGAAGAUAAUAUAGGAGUAAAACAGGGAUUGGACCUAAGUCAAACAGACCAGUGCUCACGAAAAAUAAUGAAGUUUAAGAGAAUUAGAAAACACAGUCUUAAACUGAAAAAAAGACGUAAAGUAAUAAGCGAGUGUGACAGCACCGUUAAAGAAAACGAUUUAGAGGUUGGGAACAAACCUGUGCAAUCCGCUGCAGUGGACCCAGAAACAAACAUUGAUACUUCAAAAGACAUUUGUAAUUCUGCUAGCAGUGGCUCACACGGGUCGGACUUUAACUCCUGUACACUUCUGGAGGAUAUUUUAAGCGAAAAGAAAAUGGCUUUAUUGGCAUCUGCAGAGAUGGUUGAGUUCUUCCGAAAACACAUAUCACUUAAUAAAAAGUAACCAAAUUUCAGAAGUAAUAUUUCCAGCUCGUCCUGAUCGCACACGUGGGGAAUGCAGUCCCGGACUCGCAACUGGGGAACUUUUUUGGCUGGAUCGUCCAGUGGGGUGCCAGGAUACAGCUGCCAGAUGCGGGGUUGGUCGUCGUCAAACGACACAAGAGAAGCUGCCUGCUCCGAGUGUGCCGGCCGACACUGUACCAAGAGACUGUACCACUACACCAAUAAAUGACGUGUGAGAACCGUGAAGAGGCGCAAUACGCAACACCCAUUCGCUGAGAAAACGUCACAAACUUUUAACCACCUCCACCGACUGCCGAUUAAAAAAAAAUAAUGGUAGACAUGUCAUACCUCAGAUCAUUUCACUUCCCAAAUACUUUUUUUUUAAUAAAAAAAAAUUCUUUCACAUGUUGUUAAGAAAGUGAAAUCAAACAUUUUUUGUAAUUUUUAUGUCUAUAUAUUAUAAGAGCAUUUUUUUACUGAGCUGUGAAAUUUUACCUUGAAUUAACAAAUUGGUUAUAAUUGUAAUGUGAAUAAAAUAAUAUUUAGGGUUUAGAGCUGUAGCGAACCGUAUGUAUUCGGUACUGAGUAACGGGUGCGCCAUCUAGUAUUGAGUAACGAAACGUUACACACGGCUGCAUUUCGUUACUCACAUUUUUCGUAUGUUUUACGCAUGCGCGCACAUUUUCGAUGAAUUUACGUUACAAAGAAUAAUGUUUGUUUAUUAAGUAAAGUAUAAUUUGGAAAUUCGUCGUCCAAGAUUUUUUACUGUUUAUUAAAGGUAUUGUGUGUGUAGACAAAGUUUGAGAUUGGAACAGAAACAACGUAAGAAAGUAUUUUUUACAAAUUAGAAAUAUGUAUGUUUUUGUUUUUUAUUAUAGUGUAUUUUCACAUUUUUUUGUUUUUAUCUUAAAAGAGAUAAUAUAAUAAAGCCGCUCGAAUGAGAUUUAAUUGUUUCUUGGUUAACAAAAAACUGUUAAUUAUCAAAUUUUGUUAAUUGUUUAUAUUCAAUUUAUUAUUAUUUACGCGAUGUCAUACUGUACGCGUACGCAAUACGAUUUGAUUUGUUGCUGUAACAUAACAUAGCAUGUUAUGCGGUAACAGAAGUAACGAGUAACGUAACGAUACAAUAGUAACGAGUACUAAUUGUUAUACAUAGUAACGAAUACAUACGGGGACACUUUUUUUCGUUACUUUUACACCUCUAUUAGGGUUAUUUAUAGAAUUAUAUGAAUUGUAAAUAUGUUUUAUAAAUAUCUUAUAGUAGUAUAUAAAUGGAGCUCUGAUGGCAUGGUUCAGGAUGUCGAUUGUGGAUGAGGUCAGUGAUCGACCAUCUUGAAUGACCUUGACCCUGACCACUAUGCUCUUUCCUAUUGGCUACCACCCUCACACACUUCAUUAAUAUGUUUAUCCUUCCAGCUGUAAUUUUAUUGGCUACACCCCCGCAAUUAUAUUCAUUUCUUAUUGGUUAUCACUCCUACCCUCUUUAUUAAUUGCUAUGCUCUCUCCUCCAACUUUAAUGCUAUUGGCUACACCUCCGUCUAGCUUUAAUUUUUUUCUCACAAACACCCCCCCCCCCCCCCCCCCCCCCCCCCCCUUUUACGUGCCAUCUACCACCACCCACCAACAUUAUAUGCCAUAAAUACUGACUCGCUGACCCGGGAUCCUUCAUUUUGCAGCAGUUCCCUGCCUAGUACAAGUCAUGUACCAAGGAGACGAUGAGUUUGACCCUAGAACAUGUGCAAGCUUCCAGGAAGCGAGUUCGUAACUGACCAGUUCGCGGCACUGGUUGUAACCGCACCUGAUGAACUGUACCACACCAAUCCGAGUCGGCUACGACGGAAUCUAAAUGGACAUUGUUCGUGAAGCCACGAUGAACAUCGAUACAGUUUUGAACCGAAGUGUACCCCGGUUCAGCUGACAUCCUCAUCAACAACUGUACAUCGGCCAUGAUCAUGUCACCCUGCGAGGAGACGAGGACCGCCCCUGCCGACCGGAGUACUAGGAGCUCGUAGAUGCCUGCCGGAGUUCAAGUUGUCGCCGUUGAGUGAACGUCAGUUGCUGCUUCUUUUAUCAAAGUCCUGCUGCUGCUCACGUGUCCUGCAGUGCUGUAGAAGUAGGAGCCACCACCAACACAUGGAUCUCUAGAGCUGUCAGCAUCGCUGUCAUGAUAUCUGCUGUCGCUGGCAUCGAGGUCUGCACUGAUUUCACCCUCAACAGGAGUCUGUAAGGUGAAGACGAGACCAAGACAUAGCGAGUGAGUGAACACUAAGAUGGACAUCAUGCCUCCAGGUGAGGCACCGGACCUGCAGACUGCACCGCUGUGAGCUCAGUCGUCUCUCCCCCCCCCCCCUCCCCCGAAUGGUGUGUUAGUGGUGACGAUGUGUUGCAGGAACAUUCAGGCAAAGACUAUGGCUCCGAUAGUGACCCACCUAUGAUGUCACCACCGGAUCCUAUAGUGCUCUAAAAAAAACUCAGUUGCACUGCAUUGAACAUGGAUUGAGUCUUAAUGAGCCAAGUGUGUAAUUUAGCACUCACCCAUCACUAUUACAUACUUUGGAAAGUGUGGGAAUGGUGUUCAUUUUUGACUCCAAUGGAAUAGGAUCAGACCUUACAAAACAUCCAGACUCUUAACCGUGUUUCGAUGUGAGGACCAGAAUUGUGUUAUUUUGUGUUAUUGGUCUUUGCCACCCUCACCGUUUACGUUGGCCGAGCUAAAGGCAUACCGAAGGUGAGACGAUAAUAAUCAUCAUUCUGAAUGAUGUCGGGGAACAAGACAUUUCCGUUACAGCCCACGUACAUCACUGCAGUGGCAGUGUGCUCACGAUACUCAGUAUAGUAGUCAUCUGUGUUCCGUGGCCCGAACGCGAAUAUUGCAUGAUUCAAACUUUUCUGCAGCUAGACACACAAACAUACAAGCAGGAGUCUGUAAAUAAAUUGCAUGGUAAUGAUAUACAUACUGAGAAGAAAAUAAUGGACUGUUGUGAGAAGUGCUCGUAUUUUAUGCGAGUGCACAGUUGAGAUAUUAAUUCUAAAUUUUUUUUUAAUUGCAAAUAAAAUAAAAAAAUUAAGGUCAGCCCAGGUACUAUGGCAUGAACUAAUAUCAUUGUCAGUGUACUGUGAACUGUACAGGUGUAUGCCUGCAUCCACAUGUUAAAAUAAACACAAAUGUGUAAAUUUUUUUGAAAAAUAACAUUUGUAUUAAACAUA
Long non-coding RNA from Bacillus rossius redtenbacheri, 3712 nucleotides. RefSeq lists it as uncharacterized. The record is from RefSeq and is a predicted model, not a curated record. Lineage: Eukaryota; Metazoa; Arthropoda; Insecta; Phasmatodea; Bacillidae. The transcript is spliced from 3 exons.